GACGAACGCUGGCGGCGUGCCUAAUACAUGCAAGUAGAACGCUGAAGAGAGGAGCUUGCUCUUCUUGGAUGAGUUGCGAACGGGUGAGUAACGCGUAGGUAACCUGCCUUGUAGCGGGGGAUAACUAUUGGUAACGAUAGCUAAUACCGCAUAACAAUGGAUGACACAUGUCAUUUAUUUGAAAGGGGCAAUUGCUCCACUACAAGAUGGACCUGCGUUGUAUUAGCUAGUAGGUGAGGUAAUGGCUCACCUAGGCGACGAUACAUAGCCGACCUGAGAGGGUGAUCGGCCACACUGGGACUGAGACACGGCCCAGACUCCUACGGGAGGCAGCAGUAGGGAAUCUUCGGCAAUGGGGGCAACCCUGACCGAGCAACGCCGCGUGAGUGAAGAAGGUUUUCGGAUCGUAAAGCUCUGUUGUAAGUCAAGAACGGGUGUGAGAGUGGAAAGUUCACACUGUGACGGUAGCUUACCAGAAAGGGACGGCUAACUACGUG
This 497-nucleotide ribosomal RNA is filed under the name uncultured bacterium. RNAcentral describes it as "partial 16S ribosomal RNA". It matches the Rfam family "Bacterial small subunit ribosomal RNA", at positions 28 to 507 of the family's 1533-position model. The record is from RNAcentral.